GCUUCACAAAACCAAUACCAAGGCAUUAGAGAAAAACACAUCUUACUACAUCUGUCUACAAGAUGAACACAACACAUAUUGCUUAGUCUUUGCACAAUUAAUUCUGUCAAAAGUCCUCUUAUGUCUAAGUGUCAUUGUGUUGUGGAAGGAAGGAAGAUGAAGAGUUAACUGAAGAUUCCCUCAGCAUGCCAAAACUAGGUAAGAAAUGAGAACUCCAAAGUAGGCAUUUUGGUGAUUCAAAGCCACCUUUCUCCAUACAGUUCAUUUGCUGUAGACACGAGUUUGCAGAAGGGAACAGACAAAUUCCUGGCCUUCAGAUUUUCAGAUGAAGCUGGAGCCAUAACAUAAUACACACAAACACAAGCCAGAAUUUUGCAUGUAAGUUUUGAUGCCAGAUCUGGGUUCAAAUGGCAUUGAACUCCAGAUAAAAACCAAUAAACACACAAAUCUGUAGUCACAAGAACACAGAUGGUAUUGUCCAUAUGUUUUUAUGGCAUACACAGGAGAAAAUCCAAUAAUGUAAUAUGCAUUUUAUGCUCUUCAUUGAUACUAUAAUUAAAUUCUCUGAGAAUGCACUUGACAGCUUAUAAGAGAAGGAAACAUUGGUAGCUUGGUAGUAUAGGCUUAUUUAACAAGCAAAGGAAGUGAGAAAUACAGAGAUUUACAGAAUUUAUGUGAUGACAGAGCAAAUCUUAACCACAGCAUGUUAACCUAUAAACACUCUGUAAAGGCUAAGGAAACAGGAUGAAUUGCGGUAUAUAACAUUUCAUUUUGGGGUGGCUGGAACAGCUUAUUGAAUGGGCCCAAGGAAAAAUGACCAGGUCCAGACUUGCGAGGUCAAGAAGAGAGAUUUUGCAUGCCCUGAUUUCCAACUACCUGAGCCAGUGACCAACAGCAAACAAGCAGAUGGACAUGCACUUCUCCACCUCUCCUGAGGACCCAAAGGUUACUCCCCACUCACCAUAAGGUAUUUCACUUCCAUCCACACUCAACAAGAAAAGACAAGUCCAGCACACCCAGCUUUGAAAGCUCUUCCCAGACUGCUGCCUCUACGAUGUCUCCCAGCCACUUUUGGUGCCACAGCAACCAGAUGAUGACUGUUGGGCCAUUUCGCUACUCUACCAAUCACCUUGUGAGGCACCCCACGGUCAAAACCAGUAUUUCACUUGAUAGUAUACAUCCUUGAUACUUCAGCUUUAUCAGAUCCAUCCAUCAGAGGUUAUUUGCACAUCCCCC
This 1236-nucleotide long non-coding RNA is filed under the name Anas platyrhynchos platyrhynchos (common mallard). Its description in RNAcentral is "lncRNA (ENSAPLG00000028853.1)". Lineage: Eukaryota; Metazoa; Chordata; Aves; Anseriformes; Anatidae. The record is from RNAcentral.